CCUCACUCAUUGCAAAUUACAAAGAAAAUAUACCUAAUCAAUGCCCAUAAUGUCCAGAGGCAGAGAGCAAGGUCUCCUCGCCCCUCGGCAUCAUGUCUUCAAUGCCAGCGGCUUUCUAUCUGCUGGUUCUAUCCUCAAGAGCCGGGACACAG
Small nucleolar RNA from Suncus etruscus (white-toothed pygmy shrew), 152 nucleotides. RefSeq annotates it as small nucleolar RNA SNORA57. Lineage: Eukaryota; Metazoa; Chordata; Mammalia; Eulipotyphla; Soricidae. The transcript has a single exon. The record is from RefSeq and is a predicted model, not a curated record.